This 253-nucleotide ribosomal RNA is filed under the name uncultured bacterium. RNAcentral describes it as "partial 16S ribosomal RNA". It matches the Rfam family "Bacterial small subunit ribosomal RNA", at positions 524 to 776 of the family's 1533-position model. The record is from RNAcentral.
UACGUAGGGACCAAGCGUUGUCCGGAAUCAUUGGGCGUAAAGAGCGUGUAGGCGGCUUGUUAAGUCUUGCGUGAAAUCUCGGGGCUCAACCCCGAGCGGUCGUGAGAAACUGGCAGGCUAGAGUGCGGGAGAGGAGAGUGGAAUUCCUGGUGUAGCGGUGAAAUGCGCAGAUAUCAGGAAGAACACCCGUGGCGAAAGCGGCGCGCUGGACCACUACUGACGCUGAGGAACGAAAGCGUGGGGAGCAAACAGG